This 66-nucleotide transfer RNA is filed under the name Acinetobacter baumannii 472237-1196. RNAcentral's name for it is "partial tRNA-Asp". It matches the Rfam family "tRNA", at positions 1 to 61 of the family's 71-position model. Rfam says of the family: Transfer RNA (tRNA) molecules are approximately 80 nucleotides in length. Their secondary structure includes four short double-helical elements and three loops (D, anti-codon, and T loops). Further hydrogen bonds mediate the characteristic L-shaped molecular structure. tRNAs have two regions of fundamental functional importance: the anti-codon, which is responsible for specific mRNA codon recognition, and the 3' end, to which the tRNAs corresponding amino acid is attached (by aminoacyl-tRNA synthetases). tRNAs cope with the degeneracy of the genetic code in two manners: having more than one tRNA (with a specific anti-codon) for a particular amino acid; and 'wobble' base-pairing, i.e. permitting non-standard base-pairing at the 3rd anti-codon position. Lineage: Bacteria; Pseudomonadati; Pseudomonadota; Gammaproteobacteria; Moraxellales; Moraxellaceae. RNAcentral also lists the same sequence under 23 other names. The record is from RNAcentral.
GUGCAGCGGUAGUUCAGUUGGUUAGAAUACCGGCCUGUCACGCCGGGGGUCGCGGGUUCGAGCCCC